Molecule: ribosomal RNA, 3501 nt
Filed under: Fasciola gigantica
Lineage: Eukaryota; Metazoa; Platyhelminthes; Trematoda; Plagiorchiida; Fasciolidae
Description: SSU rRNA
Rfam family: Eukaryotic small subunit ribosomal RNA (bases 1751-3501)
Source: RNAcentral
ACCUGGAUUACUCCCACAUUACUAAAUUGAUAAUUCAUCCCUAAUUGAUGGCCGACUACGCGCAUAUACAUACCCUAGAAAUGGCGGUGACUUAAAUUUUUCUGUUCUUUCUGUUUGGAUGCCUCCGCGGUCGAGCCGAUCACCUGACCUGGGCACACUUAAAUUAUCUUUUUGUUUGCUCCGAUUCUGUCAUCACCCGCAUCAACCAAACAUCCAUUGCAGCGUGCCUCCGCCUCAUUCGCGAUAUACCAAUAAUAAUAAUUAUAAUAAUAAUAGCGAGAAUGAUAAUAUAAAUGAUUGUUUUCGGCUAUAAAAUCACAACUCUGAAUUGAUCUACGAGGAAACUCGACUGUAGGUUGAAGAAUACGAGUGUAACUUUUUUCUGAGAUUUUGCAUCUGCUGGGUAUUUAACAACCUGCAGUUAAGUUGUUGUGGUGCUGCGGGUAACUCACGAAUCUUUGAAUCUAGAAGUGUCUAGUCAAAACCCACUGAAUCUUCCUUUUCUGGAGUUAUCAGUUGCGGCAUAUUGUAUCUUCAGAAAUGCAGCCGGCUGUCAAUUGCGGAACUGAAACUGCAUGUAAAACGCCUCGAUUCAGAGUAGGCCCGCACGAGCCGCGUAAGCUCAUGUGGUCAGGGCUGCAAGGAGGUCUUAAAGAAAAGGAUUCAUCCAUUUGCACCGAAAAAACAGAGAAGCGGGGCAGGGAGUGGGCUUAGGUCCCAAUGGGAACAAACCACCUCGCCCUCAUCAAUGUAAGUAGGCUUCUCCGAAAAUGCGCUAUAAGGUGCAUGAUGAGGGACUACUGGGACACUACCUCCUCGAAAAUGUUCCGUCUGGUACCGCUUUUAGUACCCAUCAUUCCCUCCUCACUGGUCUUACAAAUUCCUCUAGCCCCUUUAGGGCCUGAGAAAUAUCGUACACAUUUUCUGCAUGUGAGACGUACGGUCCGUACCACGGAGGUAAAAGUGAUAAGAAGUGAACUGAUCCGACGUCACGCACUGGCGCGAUCAGGGCAGAUCCAUAUCCAACAGCCUCUCCGUCUUCCCCCCACUAAAGUUUCUCACGAGUGUGCUCUAAGAUAGUCAGCCUUCAACUGCACUAGUAUCUCCAACAAGGUGCUACAGGUUAGACAACAACUGGCAGGCAUAAAUCCUCAAAUAGUGGAUAUCAAAGAAACCUGGCUUUUCCAAGAUAACUUGGAUGGAGAAGUAGAUGGUAGUGAAAGGACCCUGACAGAGUUCGAGAUAUUGGAGUUCUUCUCUACCUAAAGGAAAUGCUUCCUCCAGCACUCAUCAACUCUUUAUUGCCAACCUCUCCCAUUGACUGCCUCUGGAUGAAAUUACCGCCGAGCAGUGAAUAAACAUCAUCAAUAAGCGUAAUUUGUCGACCACCACAGUGCUAACAAGAAGAACCAGCAGCACUUACCGAACAUAAAAAGGGGCCAUCAGAUGCCCACCAAUUUACCCACCUAUUGGUGAGUGGAGACUUCGAACCUCCCUCAAUGGACCGGCUCGGUUGUCACGCCAGGAGAUCGAUUUUUGGCGCUCAGCUACUAGAAGCACCCUCUCAAAGGCCAUAGAUGCGACAAGUCCAGGGCCCGACUAGGUUUUGCCAAGGGGAAUCACCCACACUUUUUGAUCCUGUUAUUACAAACGAGCAGCACCACUUAAACAAAAUCUGUCACUCCUGCUGGGUAAAGAAGCGUGGUCGAGAAUUUCUCAGCUCUGACUUUUAACGCAAUGGCCAUUGCGCAGUUCGUCACCUAUGACGGCACGAAUACCUAAGGGACAAGCCACUUCCAGCUCAGCGGGUAUCUUACUUCUGAAGUAGAAGGCGCUUUCUCGUAUGCUGGCUUAAAUAUACUUGCCCAACUAAUUGAACCAAUCAUUCCCAUGGUGCUAACGGGUAACGGGGAAUCAGGGUUCGACUCUGGAUAGGGAGCCUGAGAAGCGGCUACCACUUCCAAGGAAGGCAGCAGGCACGCAAAUUACUCAAUUCCGGCACGGGGAGGUAGUGACGAAAAAUACGCAUACGGGACUCACUGGAGGCUCUGUAAUUCGAAUGAGUACAAUUUAAAUCGUUUAACGAGGAUCAACUUGAGAGCAAGUCUGUUGCUAACAGCCGCGGUAACUCUAGCUCCCGAAGCGUAUAUUAAAGUUGCUGCAGUUAGAGGGUCAUAUUUGGAUCAGGGUUGCAUGGUUACAUACCGUCGCUCUCGGGUCUGGCCUGGUUACUGCCGGGUUGAGCUUGCGGAUCGAUCUCAUGGUUGUGCUUACUUUCUGCUGUGUCUGUUUGCAGGUGUCAGCGUGACUGGUGGGCUUUCCGGCUAGUCUUUUGGCAUGCAUUUUGGUGCGUUUAAUUGGGUGUUACAGGUGGACAGCUCGUUUAAUUUGAACAGAUUUGAGUGCUCAAAGCAGGCCUUUGUGCCUGAAAGUUCUUGCACGCAAUAAUGAAAUAGGACUUUGGUUUUAUUUUGUUGGUUUUCGAAUCCAAAGUAAUGGUUGGGAGGAACAGAUGGAGGCAUUUGUAUGGCGGCCUUAGAGAUGAAACUCUUGGAUCGCCACCGGCGAAAGCAUUGCCAAGGAUGUUUUCACUGAUCUUGAGCUAAGGUCAGGGGUUUGAAGACUAUCAUAUACCGUCCUAGUUCUGACCAUAAGCUAUGCCAACUGACGAUCUAUGGUGGGUCUGUAUGUAUCGCCCCGGACAGUCCCCGGGAAACCCUAAAAUCUUUGGGCUCAGGGGAAGUAUGGUUGCAAAGAUGAAACUUAAAGGAAUUGUCGGAGGGGCACCACCAGGAGCGGAGCCUGCGGCCUAAUUCGACUCAACACGGGAAAAUUCACUCGGCCCGGACACUGUGCGGAUUGACAGAUUAAUAGUUCUUUUAUGAUUCGGUGUUUGGUGGUGCAUAGCCUUUCUCAGUUAGUGGAGCAGUUUGUCUGAUCGAUUCCGAUAACGAACGAGACUCUGGCCUGAUAAGUAGUACACCUGUCUUCUGUGCUCGUGCAGGUUGCAUUGUCCAUUGUCUCCUUGUGGAGUAGUGGUGACGUUGAUCGGCGGGUGCGGCCCAGGUAUUUACAUUUAAAAGAACAAGCGGUAUUCAAUCGCACGAAAUUAAGCGAUAACAUGUCUGUGAUACCUUUAGAUGUCCAGAUCCUCACGUGCGCUACAACGACGGAUUCAGCGAGUUUGGAAUCCUGGCCUGAGCAGGUUGGGUGAACUGUAUCAUAACCGUCGUGACUGGAUCGGGGCUUGCAAUUGUUUCCCGUGAACGAGGAAUUCCUGUUAAGUGAAGGUCAUAAGCUUGCGCUGAUUACGUCCCUGCCCUUUGUACACACCGCCCGUCGCUACUACCGAUUGAAUGGUUUAGAAAGGCCCCCGGAUUGGUGCCAUUUUAGUGGCUUCAGCCGCUCGACCGAUACUGAGAAGAAGACCAAACUUGAGCAUUCAGAGGAAGUAAAAGUCGUAACAAGGUUUCUGUAGGCGAACCUGUGGAAGGGUCAUUA